This is a non-coding RNA of Picea glauca (white spruce), 121 nucleotides long. NCBI's taxonomy places the organism in Eukaryota, Viridiplantae, Streptophyta, Pinopsida, Pinales, Pinaceae. The record is from Rfam.
UGUUAUGUACAUGCCUACAACAUUAAUGUAGCCGAUCCCAUUAGAACUAUGGAAUUAAGUGUGCUUGGGCUAGAGUAGUAUUGGGAUGGGUGACCUCUCGGGAAGUCCUAGUGUUUUACAC